UCGCACAUAUUAUUGAGACCAACUAGCAACAUAGAAAGCACAAUAGUGUACCAACAAUGGCAGCCAAAAUAUUUUGCCUCCUUAUGCUCCUUGGUCUUUCUGCAAGUGCUGCUACGGCGACCAUUUUCCCGCAAUGCUCGCAAGCUCCUAUAGCUUCCCUUCUUCCCCCGUACCUCUCACCAGCGGUGUCUUCGGUAUGUGAAAACCCAAUUCUUCAACCCUACAGGAUCCAACAGGCAAUCACAGCUGGCAUCUUACCUUUAUCACCCUUGUUCCUCCAACAAUCAUCAGCCCUAUUACAUCAGUUACCUUUGGUGCAUUUAUUGGCACAAAACAUCAGGGCACAACAACUACAACAACUUGUGCUAGCAAACCUUGCUGCCUACUCUCAGCAACAGCAGUUUCUUCCAUUCAACCAACUAGCUGCAUUGAACUCUGCUUCUUAUUUGCAACAACAACAACUACCAUUCAGCCAGCUACCUGCUGCCUACCCCCAGCAAUUUCUUCCAUUCAACCAACUGGCAGCAUUGAACUCUCCUGCUUAUUUACAGCAGCAACAACUACUACCAUUCAGCCAGCUAGCUGGUGUGAGCCCUGCUACCUUCUUGAUACAACCACAGUUGUUGCCGUUCUACCAGCACGCUGCGCCUAACGCUGGCACCCUCUUACAACUGCAACAAUUGCUGCCAUUCAACCAACUUGCUUUGACAAACCCAGCAGCGUUCUACCAACAACCCAUCAUUGGUGGUGCCCUCUUUUAGAUUUCUUAUGAGUUAUAGUUCAAUAAUAAAGUUUUUUGUCUGAUGUUUGUGGCUUCCCAGAAAUAAGAAAGUACAUUUCUAGAUUCUUAUGUGCUUCUAGUCUCCAAAUGUGGUUGAUAGUUAUUUUGCUCUAAGAUCGACAGUAAUGAAGUAUAAAUCAUCGUUGUGGUGUGCUACUCGGUUAAUUGAGCAUUAACACACACAAACAUGACGAGGAUGGUAUAAUCUCCAAAAAUAUGUACUUUGUUAGGUGGGACCCUAUAGCCUUGCAUAAUGUGCUAUGUUAGGCAUGCCUGGAAACGUGUGACGCAUAUGUUUUGUGAACCUGUUGAUAUUAUAUGUGCUUUUAUAUUACCAUAUUUUAUUAAAAUACUAAUAUUUAUUACUAGUAAGAUAUAACAUUCUAUCUAGCUUAAAAACUAACCAUAAAUAUUCCAUAAUAACUAGAUUUACCAAACUAAUAUACUAAAUAUACAUAAUAAAUACAAAAUUAACAAGACAAUAAUCAAUAUUUAUGAGCUUAAUAUAUUUAGACAUUAUGGUUGGUCGACCAUAAUCAUGCUAACUUUUCGUACUUGCUUGAUUGUAAAUAUGCUUAGAAUAAUGCCUCUUUGUUCUACAUGGCAAAUAGGGACCAUUAUGGUGUAACACCCUGGGAACCACAAACACCCCGAAAUGCUACUAAACUACACAACUAACCUUCAUAUAUAAAAUUUCGACAGCAUCUCCUUUGAAAAUUUGCAUAAACGUGGAAGCAACAGAGUAUAAACAGAUAUCAUGAUAAGGAAACAUACUAGACAUUAAUAAUCUGCUAGAAAUGGGAAGAUAACCAUAACGACAUAAACUGAAUUAACUAGUGUGCACAACUUGUUUAAAACAAACAUCAUUGACAAGAAGUUUCUAAUUAAAUCAUGGCUGUGCCUGGGUAGCGUUAUUAUGAGAGUGAAGGUGGACGUGAUGCUACUUCCCUCAUUCCCAACAUGAAUCAAGUACCUGCAUUGAGUAAUGCAAGAGUGAGAUGAAAACAUCUCAGCAAGUAAAUUGUUUUGACGAGAUAUUUAAAGCAAAAAAAUUUGAUUUACUCAACAUUUUAAAGGGAUCACAAUUGAGAUCAGAAAUACUUGUAGAUAUAGAACUCAAUAGUCCCAAAAUAACCAGUGCCAUCUCAUUUCCUCAAACAACCACAAUAGGUUGUAUAACACUUCCCUGCGUCAUCAAUACCUGCAAAUAUCACUUCAAUGUAUGCAUAGGAAUGCAAUGUUUAAGUCCUCUGCAUUCAUACUUCUUAGAGUAUAAAACCACACCAUCUGCAAAUAUCACUUCAAUGAAUGCAUAUGAAUGCAAUGCAUAUGUCCUCUGCCUUCAUACCUCUAAGGGUAUGAAGCCGAAUCGUACCCCUCCUCGGGCAACGUACGAUGCUAAGUUGUACCGUUACGGUCGGACCAUAGGUCACGACAAAACUUCAUAUGCAAGUGAAUCAUGACAUGUAUAUGGCUUGCUGCAUUUAUCAAUAUACUUCACUUCCUUCAUAUACAAUACAAACCUCAAAUAAUACUUCGUUUACCUUCAGAUACAAUACAAACCUCAAAUAAUACUUCAUUCACCUUCAGGGGUGUUUAUUAAUCUCGUGGGUCAUACUCGAAUCAUCAUCAUCAUCAAUGAUGAUUAAGCAUCAGUAUAAUACAAUCAAGUAAAGCAUCACCAUAGAGUUCAAUUAUGAAAGAAUUCGAUGAUUCUGAAUAUUAGAGUGUAUGCGAUGAAACAACAACGUCAAAACGGUAGCAACCACCGCUACAUUCACUUGCCUUCAUCGAAGAAGAAAAACAUACUAGGCAUGAUUCAGAGUGUAGACACCUGCUGUGGGGCUUAAAACUUAGUACAAAUAUUCCACAAACAUUUGCCAACAAUUAACAAAUCGCUCCUACACUUGAAACCAAGACCCGGUGGAAUGACUCCCACCCUGAACCACAUGCCAAACAAUAGUAGUGUUGUUUGUUAAUUUUGUAUCUUUAAAAUUAUAACAGUGGUGAUAUCAAACAAAUACUCCAGAAGUUUCUACACAAAAUACUCUACAACUUUGGUAUUCAAUGGAUAAUUAAAUUUUGCCAUCUAUAAGUUCUAAAACAUCUGAUAAGAUAACUGACUGAAUUUGUUUCAGACAACAGCAUAGUUAACUUCAAAAUUCGAUAUCUCCCAAACUCCUCAACCAAAAAUUAUGAAAUUAUUCUGACAGUAAGAACUUUUUUCCCUCUACAAAAGUAUCUAUAGUUGGAAGAGCCAAUUCGGCCAUUUACUAGAUGAAACCUACCAGUUAACAGACCCGCUCAUUUUUGUCAGGCAAACAAGAACCCUUAUAUAUCAAAGAGUAGUGGAUUUGAAUUUGUCUAAUAUGAAGUUUAUGGGCUUGGAUCAUUUAAAGUAUUUUAUAAUUCUGAAAGACAAGAUUAAACUAACUAUGUAUGAUCCUUUAGCACUGUACAGAUGGUCGAUGGGACAGUUACAUGGUUUAUAUAGAUGGACCUAUCUAUAUUCCUUCAGUGGUUGAGAAAAAGGUAAAGGUGUGUCACACUCACGUGUGCGCCGCCUCUACCGAGAUGAGGCAUGGCGUUGCAAGGUGAGGCAUGGCAUGGUGCAGCACGAUCGUAUACAUGGUCGUGGCACAGUGUAGCACUGUUGUGGAUAGAUAGAUAAACUUUUGUUGUAGUUAGAGUGCAUGAGUUUUUGAAUGCAACACAAGAAUUUUCACAAUUUAACUUAAUUAAGAAGUUAUAUCUUGAUGACACAGAGUUACCUGACCAUUGAUCUCACAUGCCCUUUUAGCUCUCUCGUUCUCUAGACUCACCCUGACUAUUUAGGUCUCCUGACUCGCCAAUAUAAACACCAUCCUAUCAUUUGCUCUCGAAUACUUCUGUGUCACAACUCAACUGUCAGAUGAGUACUCCAUUACAGCACUGAGCAGGCCUCCGAAAUGAAUAUCUACUCAGAUGAAGGACGACAAUCGUGUUCUAGGGAAAUAUCGGUGACACAACUCCUUACUUCCUCCGCUUCUUCCUAGUGUUUUUUGUUGUGAUUGAGUCGACACAGCAACAACACUGCACUAUUACAACCAGUACGACUAUAUUAACUAGCAAUGUCUUCCUUAUAUGUUACUAUUUAUUUUGCUCAUAUUCAUUAUGUUUAAAUCACAUAGGCACCUUUUUGUUGGCAUCAAAAAAUUAGUAUCAACUUUCUAGAUUAAAGUGAAACUAAAAGUACCUAAAUUUCUAUCGGUGGGGAUCGAGUGAUUCUUUAAACCAAUUAUUACGCAAGUUAACCACACUAAAAUUAACAUUGGUGAACCGUGCCAUGAUUUUUUCUAAUGGAAAAUAGCCAAACCAAGCAACACAUAUGUGGCUAUCGUUACACAUGUGUAAAGGUAUUGCAUCACACCAUUGUCACCCAUGUAUUUGGACAAUACCGAGAGGAAAAACCACUUAUUUAUUGUAUUUUAUCAAGUUUGUCUUGCUUACGUAUAAAUUAUAACCCAACAAAGUAAUCACUAAAUGUCAAAACCAACUAGAUACCAUGUCAUCUCUACCUUAUCUUACUAAUAUUCUUUUUGCAAAAUCCAAAAUUAAUCUUGCACAAGCACAAGGACUGAGAUGUGUAUAAAUAUCUCUUAAAUUAGUAGCUAAUAUAUCACACAUAUUAUUGAGACCAACUAGCAACAUAGAAAGCACAAUAGUGUACCAACAAUGGCAGCUAAAAUAUUUUGCCUCCUUAUGCUCCUUGGUCUUUCUGCAAGUGCUGCUACGGCGACCAUUUUCCCACAAUGCUCACAAGCUCCUAUAGCUUCCCUUCUUCCCCCGUACCUCUCACCAACGGUGUCUUCGGUAUGUGAAAACCCAAUUCUUCAACCCUACAGGAUCCAACAGGCAAUCGCAGCUGGCAUCUUACCUUUAUCACCCUUGUUCCUCCAACAAUCAUCAGCCCUAUUACAGCAGUUACCUUUGGUGCAUUUAUUGGCACAAAACAUCAGGGCACAACAACUACAACAACUUGUGCUAGCAAACCUUGCUGCCUACUCUCAGCAACAGCAGUUUCUUCCAUUCAACCAACUAGCUGCAUUGAACUCUGCUUCUUAUUUGCAACAACAACAACUACCAUUCAGCCAGCUAUCUGCUGCCUACCCCCAGCAAUUUCUUCCAUUCAACCAACUGACAGCAUUGAACUCUCCUGCUUAUUUACAGCAGCAACAACUACUACCAUUCAGCCAGCUAGCUGGUGUGAGCCCUGCUACCUUCUUGACACAACCACAGUUGUUGCCGUUCUACCAGCACGCUGCGCCUAACGCUGGCACCCUCUUACAACUGCAACAAUUGCUGCCAUUCAACCAACUUGCUUUGACAAACCCAGCAGCAUUCUACCAACAACCCAUCAUUGGUGGUGCCCUCUUUUAGAUUUCUUAUGAGUUAUAGUUCAAUAAUAAAGUUUUUUGUCUGAUGUUUGUGGCUUCCCAGAAAUAAGAAAGUACAUUUCUAGAUUCUUAUGUGCUUCUAGUCUCCAAAUGUGGUUGAUAGUUAUUUUGCUCUAAGAUCAACAGUAAUGAAGUAUAAAUCAUCGUUGUGGUGUGCUACUCGGUUAAUUGAGCAUUAACACACACAAACAUGACGAGGAUGGUAUAAUCUCCAAAAAUGUGUACUUUGUUAGGUGGGACCCUAUAGCCUUGAUUAAUGUGCUAUGUUAGGCAUGCCUGGAAACGUGUGACGCAUAUGUUUUGUGAACCUGUUGAUAUUAUAUGUGCUUUUAUAUUACCAUAUUUUAUUAAAAUACUAAUAUUUAUUACUAGUAAGAUAUAACAUUCUAUCUAGCUUAAAAACUAACCAUAAAUAUUCCAUAAUAACUAGAUUUACCAAACUAAUAUACUAAAUAUACAUAAUAAAUACAAAAUUAACAAGACAAUAAUCAAUAUUUAUGAGCUUAAUAUAUUUAGACAUUAUGGUUGGUCGACGAUAAUCAUGCUAACUUUUCGUAAUUGCUUGAUUGUAAAUAUGCUUAGAAUAAUGCCUCUUUGUUCUACAUGGCAAAUAGGGACCAUUAUGGUGUAACACCCUGGGAACCACAAACACCCCGAAAUGCUACUAAACUACACAACUAACCUUCAUAUAUAAAAUUUCGACAGCAUCUCCUUUGAAAAUUUGCAUAGACGUGGAAGCAACAGAGUAUAAACAGAUAUCAUGAUAAGAAAACAUACUAGACAUUAAUAAUCUGCUAGAAAUGGGAAGAUAACCAUAACGACAUAAACUGAAUUAACUAGUGUGCACAACUUGUUAAAAACAAACAUCGUUGACAAGAAGUUUCUAAUUAAAUCAUGGUUGUGCCUGGGCAGCGUUAUUAUGAGAGUGAAGGUGGACGUGAUGCUACUUCCCUCAUUCCCAACAUGAAUCAAGUACCUGCAUUGAGCAAUGCAAGAGUGAGAUGAAAACAUCUCAGCAAGUAAAUUGUUUUGACGAGAUAUUUAAACCAAAAAAAUUUGAUUUACUCAACAUUUUAAAGGGAUCACAAUUGAGAUCAGAAAUACUUGUAGAUAUAGAACUCAAUAGUCCCAAAAUAACCAGUGCCAUCUCAUUUCCUCAAACAACCACAAUAGGUUGUAUAACACUUCCCUGCGUCAUCAAUACCUGCAAAUAUCACUUCAAUGUAUGCAUAGGAAUGCAAUGUUUAAGUCCUCUGCAUUCAUACUUCUUAGAGUAUAAAACCACACCAUCUGCAAAUAUCACUUCAAUGAAUGCAUAUGAAUGCAAUGCAUAUGUCCUCUGCCUUCAUACCUCUAAGGGUAUGAAGCCGAAUCGUACCCCUCCUCGGGCAACGUACGAUGCUAAGUUGUACCGGUACGGUCGGACCAUAGGUCACGACAAAACUUCAUAUGCAAGUGAAUCAUGACAUGUAUAUGGCUUGCUGCAUUUAUCAAUAUACUUCACUUCCUUCAUAUACAAUACAAACCUCAAAUAAUACUUCGUUUACCUUCAGAUACAAUACAAACCUCAAAUAAUACUUCAUUCACCUUCAGGGGUGUUUAUUAAUCUCGUGGGUCAUACUCGAAUCAUCAUCAUCAUCAAUGAUGAUUAAGCAUCAGUAUAAUACAAUCAAGUAAAGCAUCACCAUAGAGUUCAAUUAUGAAAGAAUUCGAUGAUUCUGAAUAUUAGAGUGUAUGCGAUGAAACAACAACGUCAAAACGGUAGCAACCACCGCUACAUUCAUUUGCCUUCAUCGAAGAAGAAAAAUGUACUAGGCAUGAUUCAGAGUGUAGACACCUGCUGUGGGGCUUAAAACUUAGUACAAAUAUUCCACAAACAUUUGCCAACAAUUAACAAAUCGCUCCUACACUUGAAACCAAGACCCGGUGGAAUGACUCCCACCCUGAACCACAUGCCAAACAAUAGUAGUGCUGUUUGUUAAUUUUGUAUCUUUAAAAUUAUAACAGUGGUGAUAUCAAACAAAUACUCUAGAAGUUUCUACACAAAAUACUCUACAACUUCGGUAUUCAAUGGAUAAUUAAAUUUUGCCAUCUAUAAGUUCUAAAACAUCUGAUAAGAUAACUGACUGAAUUUGUUUCAGACAGCAGCAUAGUUAACUUCAAAAUUCGAUAUCUCCCAAACUCCUCAACCAAAAAUUAUGAAAUUAUGCUGACAGUAAGAACUUUUUGUCCCUCUACAAAAGUAUCUAUAGUUGGAAGAGCCAAUUCGGCCAUUUACUAGAUGAAACCUACCAGUUAACAGACCCGCUCAUUUUUGUCAGGCAAACAAGAACCCUUAUAUAUCAAAGAGUAGUGGAUUUGAAUUUGUCUAAUAUGAAGUUUAUGGGCUUGGAUCAUUUAAAGUAUUUUAUAAUUCUGAAAGACAAGAUUAAACUAACUAUGUAUGAUCCUUUAGCACCGUACAGAUGGUCGAUGGGACAGUUACAUGGUUUAUAUAGAUGGACCUAUCUAUAUUCCUUCAGUGGUUGAGAAAAAGGUAAAGGUGUGUCACACUCACGUGUGCGCCGCCUCUGCCGAGAUGAGGCAUGGCGUUGCAAGGUGAGGCAUGGCAUGGUGCAGCACGAUCGCAGUCAUGGUCGUGGCACAGUGUAGCACUGUUGUGGAUAGAUAGAUAAACUAUUGUUGUAGUUAGAGUGCAUGAGUUUUUGAAUGCAACACUAGGAUUUUCACAAUUUAACUUAAUUAAGAAGUUAUAUCUUGAUGACACAGAGUUACCUGACCAUUGAUCUCACAUGCCCUUUUAGCUCUCUUGUUCUCUAGACUCACCCUGACUAUUGAGGUCUCUUGACUCGCCAAUAUAAACACCAUCCUAUCAUUUGCUCUCGAAUACUUUUGUGUCACAACUCAACUGUCAGAUGAGUACUCCAUUACAGCACUGAGCAGGCCUCCGAAAUGAAUAUCUACUCAGAUGAAGGACGACAAUCGUGUUCUAGGGAAAUAUCAGUGACACAACUCCUUACUUCCUCUGCUUCUUCCUAGUGUUUUUUGUUGUGAUUGAGUCGACACAGCAACAACACUGCACUAUUACAACCAGUACGACUAUAUUAACUAGCAAUGUCUUCCUUAUAUGUUACUAUUUAUUUUGCUCAUAUUCAUUAUGUUUAAAUCACAUAGGCACCUUUUUGUUGGCAUCAAAAAAUUAGUAUCAACUUUCUAGAUUAAAGUGAAACUAAAAGUACCUAAAUUUCUAUCGGUGGGGAUCGAGUGAUUCUUUAAACCGAUUAUUACACAAGUGAACCACACUAAAAUUAACAUUGGUGAAUCGUGCCAUGAUUUUUUCUAGUGGAAAAUAGCCAAACCAAGCAACACAUAUGUGGCUAUCGUUACACAUGUGUAAAGGUAUUGCAUCACACCAUUGUCACCCAUGUAUUUGGACAAUACCGAGAGGAAAAACCACUUAUUUAUUGUAUUUUAUCAAGUUUGUCUUGCUUACGUAUAAAUUAUAACCCAACAAAGUAAUCACUAAAUGUCAAAACCAACUAGAUACCAUGUCAUCUCUACCUUAUCUUACUAAUAUUCUUUUUGCAAAAUCCAAAAUUAAUCUUGCACAAGCACAAGGACUGAGAUGUGUAUAAAUAUCUCUUAAAUUAGUAGCUAAUAUAUCACACAUAUUAUUGAGACCAACUAGCAACAUAGAAAGCACAAUAGUGUACCAACAAUGGCAGCCAAAAUAUUUUGCCUCCUUAUGCUCCUUGGUCUUUCUGCAAGUGCUGCUACGGCGACCAUUUUCCCACAAUGCUCACAAGCUCCUAUAGCUUCCCUUCUUCCCCCGUACCUCUCACCAGCGGUGUCUUCGGUAUGUGAAAACCCAAUUCUUCAACCCUAUAGGAUCCAACAGGCAAUCGCAGCUGGCAUCUUACCUUUAUCACCCUUGUUCCUCCAACAAUCAUCAGCCCUAUUACAGCAGUUACCUUUGGUGCAUUUAUUGGCACAAAACAUCAGGGCACAACAACUACAACAACUUGUGCUAGCAAACCUUGCUGCCUACUCUCAGCAACAACAGUUUCUUCCAUUCAACCAACUAGCUGCAUUGAACUCUGCUUCUUAUUUGCAACAACAACAACUACCAUUCAGCCAGCUAUCUGCUGCCUACCCCCAGCAAUUUCUUCCAUUCAACCAACUGACAGCUUUGAACUCUCCUGCUUAUUUACAGCAGCAACAACUACUACCAUUCAGCCAGCUAGCUGGUGUGAGCCCUGCUACCUUCUUGACACAACCACAAUUGUUGCCGUUCUACCAGCACGCUGCGCCUAACGCUGGCACCCUCUUACAACUGCAACAAUUGCUGCCAUUCAACCAACUUGCUUUGACAAACCCAACAGCAUUCUACCAACAACCCAUCAUUGGUGGUGCCCUCUUUUAGAUUUCUUAUGAGUUAUAGUUCAAUAAUAAAGUUUUUUGUCUGAUGUUUGUGGCUUCCCAGAAAUAAGAAAGUACAUUUCUAGAUUCUUAUGUGCUUCUAGUCUCCAAAUGUGGUUGAUAGUUAUUUUGCUCUAAGAUUAGCAGUAAUGAAGUAUAAAUCAUCGUUGUGGUGUGCUACUCGGUUAAUUGAGCAUUAACACACACAAACAUGACGAGGAUGGUAUAAUCUCCAAAAAUGUGUACUUUGUUAGGUGGGACCCUAUAGCCUUGCAGAAUGUGCUACGUUAGGCAUGCCAAUGGAAACGUGUGACACAUACGUUUUGUGAAUCUGUUGAUAUUAUAUGUGCUUUUAUAUUACCAUAUUUUAUUAAAAUACUAAUAUUUAUUACUAGUAAGAUAUAACAUUCUAUCUAGCUUAAAAACUAACCAUAAAUAUUCCAUAAUAACUAGAUUUACCAAACUAAUAUACUAAAUAUACAUAAUAAAUAUAAAAUUAACAAGACAAUAAUUAAUAUUUAUGAGCUUAAUUUAUUUAGACAUUAUGGUUGGUCGACGAUAAUCAUGCUAACUUUCCGUAAUUGCUUGAUUGUAAAUAUGCUUAGAAUAAUGCCUCUUUGUUCUACAUGGCAAAUAGGGACCAUUAUGGUGUAACACCCCGGGAUCCACAAACACCCCGAAAUGCUACUAAACUACACAACUAACCUUCAUAUAUAAAAUUUCGACAGCAUCUCCUUUGAAAAUUUGCAUAAACGUGGAAGCAACAGAGUAUAAACAGAUAUCAUGAUAAGGAAACAUACUAGACAUUAAUAAUCUGCUAGAAAUGGGAAGAUAACCAUAACGACAUAAACUGAAUUAACUAGUGUGCACAACUUGUUAAAAACAAACAUCGUUGACAAGAAGUUUCUAAUUAAAUCAUGGUUGUGCCUGGGCAGCGUUAUUAUGAGAGUGAAGGUGGACGUGAUGCUACUUCCCUCAUUCCCAACAUGAAUCAAGUACCUGCAUUGAGUAAUGCAAGAGUGAGAUGAAAACAUCUCAGCAAGUAAAUUGUUUUGACGAGAUAUUUAAACCAAAAAAAUUGAUUUAAUCAACAUUUUAAAGGGAUCACAAUUGAGAUCAGAAAUACUUGUAGAUAUAGAACUCAAUAGUCCCAAAAUAACCAAUGCCAUCUCAUUUCCUCAAACAACCACAAUAGGUUGUAUAACACUUCCCUGCGUCAUCAAUACCUGCAAAUAUCACUUCAAUGUAUGCAUAGGAAUGCAAUGUUUAAGUCCUCUGCAUUCAUACUUCUUAGAGUAUAAAACCACACCAUCUGCAAAUAUCACUUCAAUGAAUGCAUAUGAAUGCAAUGCAUAUGUCCUCUGCCUUCAUACCUCUAAGGGUAUGAAGCCGCAUCGUACCCCUCCUCGGGCAACGUACGAUGCUAAGUUGUACCGGUACGGUCGGACCAUAGGUCACGACAAAACUUCAGAUGCAAGUGAAUCAUGACAUGUAUAUGGCAUGCUGCAUUUAUCAAUAUACUUCACUUCCUUCAUAUACAAUACAAACCUAAAAUAAUACUUCGUUUACCUUCAGAUACAAUACAAACCUCAAAUAAUACUUCAUUCACCUUCAGGGGUGUUUAUUAAUCUCGUGGGUCAUACUCAAAUCAUCAUCAUCAUCAAUGAUGUUUAAGCAUCAGUAUAAUACAAUCAAGUAAAGCAUCACCAUAGAGUUCAAUUAUGAAAGAAUUCGAUGAUUCUGAAUAUUAGAGUGUAUGCGAUGAAACAACAAAGUCAAAACGGUAGCAACCACCUCUACAUUCACUUGCCUUCAUCGAAGAAGAAAAAGGUACUAGGCAUGAUUCGGAGUGUAGACACCUGCUGUGGGGCUUAAAACUUAGUACAAAUAUUCCAUAAACAUUUGCCAACAAUUAACAAAUCGCUCCUACACUUGAAACCAAGACCCGGUGGAAUGACUCCCACCCUGAACCACAUGCCAAACAACAAUAGUGUUGUUUGUUAAUUUCUAUCUUUAAAAUUAUAACAGUGGUGAUAUCAAACAAAUACUCUAUACGUUUCUACACAAAAUACUCUACAACUUCGGUAUUCAAUGGAUAAUUAAAUUUUGCCAUCUAUAAGUUCUAAAACAUCUGACAAGAUAACUGACUGAAUCUGUUUCAGACAACAGCAUAGUUAACUUCAAAAUUCGAUAUCUCCCUAACUCCUCAACAAAAAAUUAUGAAAUUAUGCUGACAGUAAGAACUUUUAUCCCUCUACAAAAGUCUCCAUAGUUGAAAGAGCCAAUUCGGCCAUUUACUAGAUGAAACCUACCAGUUAACGGACCCGCUCAUUUUUGUCAAGCAAACAAGAACCCUUAUAUAUCAAAGAGUAGUGGAUUUGAAUUUGUCUAAUAUGAAGUUUACGGGCUUGGCUCAUUUAAAGUAUUUAAUAAUUCUGAAAGACAAGAUUAAACUAACUAUGUAUGAUCCUUUAGCACCGUACAGAUGGUCGAUGGGACAGUUACAUGGUUUAUAUAGAUGGACCUAUCUAUAUUCCUUCAGUGGUUGAGAAAAAAGUAAAGGUGUGUCACACUCACGUGUGCGCCGCCUCCGCCGAGACGAGGCAUGGCGUUGCAAGGUGAGGCAUGGCAUGGUGUAGCACGAUAGCAGUCAUGGUCGUGGCACAGUGUAGCACUGUUGUGGAUAGAUAGGUAAACUAUUGUUGUAGUUAGAGUGCAUGAGUUUUUGAAUGCAACACUAGAAUUUUCACAAUUUAACUUAAUUAAGAAGUUAUAUCUUGAUGACACAGAGUUACCUGACCAUUGAUCUCACAUGCCCUUUUAGCUCUCUCGUUCUCUAGACUCACCCUGACUAUUUAAGUCUCUUGACUCGCCAAUAUAAACACCAUCCUAUCAUUUGCUCUAGAAUACUUCUGUGUCACAACUCAACUGUCAGAUGAGUACUCCAUUACAGCACUUACGUACACGAGUUCUAUGAGAGCAGGCCUCCAAAAUGAAUAUCUACUUAGAUGAAGGACGACAAUCGUGUUCUAGGGAAAUAUCAGCGACACAACUCCUUACUUCCUUCGCUUCUUCCUAGUGUUUUUUGUUGUGAUUGAGUCGACACAGCAACAACACUGCACUAUUACAACCAGUACGACUAUAUCAACUAGCAAUGUCUUCCUUAUAUGUUACUAUUUAUUUUGCACAUAUUCAUUAUGUUUAAAUCACAUAGGCACCUUUCUAUUGGCAUCAAAAAAUUAGUAUCAACUUUCUAGAUUAAAAUGAAACUAAAAGUACAUAAAUUUCUAUCGGUGGGGAUCGAGUGAUUCUUUAAACCGAUUAUUACACAAGUUAACCACACUAAAAUUAACAUUGGUGAAUCGUGCCAUGAUUUUUUUUCUAGUGGAAAAUAGCCAAACCAAGCAACACAUAUGUGGCUAUCGUUACACAUGUGUAAAGGUAUUGCAUCACACUAUUGUCACCCAUGUAUUUGGACAAUACCGAGAGGAAAAACCACUUAUUUAUUGUAUUUUAUCAAGUUUGUCUUGCUUACGUAUAAAAUUAUAACCCAACAAAGUAAUCACUAAACGUCAAAACCAACUAGAUAUCAUGUCAUCUCUACCUUAUCUUACUAAUAUUCUUUUUGCAAAAUCCAAAAUUAAUCUUGCACAAGCACAAGGACUGAGAUGUGUAUAAAUAUCUCUUAAAUUAGUAGCUAAUAUAUCGCACAUAUUAUUUAGACCAACUAGCAACAUAGAAAGCACAAUAGUGUACCAACAAUGGCAGCCAAAAUAUUUUGCCUCCUUAUGCUCCUUGGUAUUUCUGCAAGUGCUGCUACGGCGACCAUUUUCCCGCAAUGCUCACAAGCUCCUAUAGCUUCCCUUCUUCCCCCGUACCUCUCACCAGCGGUGUCUUCGGUAUGUGAAAACCCAAUUCUUCAACCCUACAGGAUCCAACAGGCAAUCGCAGCUGGCAUCUUACCUUUAUCACCCUUGUUCCUCCAACAAUCAUCAGCCCUAUUACAGCAGUUACCUUUGGUGCAUUUAUUGGCACAAAACAUCAGGGCACAACAACUACAACAACUUGUGCUAGCAAACCUUGCUGCCUACUCUCAGCAACAGCAGUUUCUUCCAUUCAACCAACUAGCUGCAUUGAACUCUGCUUCUUAUUUGCAACAACAACAACUACCAUUCAGCCAGCUACCUGUUGCCUACCCCCAGCAAUUUCUUCCAUUCAACCAACUGGCAGCAUUGAACUCUCCUGCUUAUUUACAGCAGCAACAACUACUACCAUUCAGCCAGCUAGCUGGUGUGAGCCCUGCUACCUUCUUGACACAACCACAGUUGUUGCCGUUCUACCAGCACGCUGCGCCUAACGCUGGCACCCUCUUACAACUGCAACAAUUGCUGCCAUUCAACCAACUUGCUUUGACAAACCUAGCAGUGUUCUACCAACAACCCAUCAUUGGUGGUGCCCUCUUUUAGAUUUCUUAUGAGUUAUAGUUCAAUAAUAAAGUUUUUUGUCUGAUGUUUGUGGCUUCCCAGAAAUAAGAAAGUACAUUUCUAGAUUCUUAUGUGCUUCUAGUCUCCAAAUGUGGUUGAUAGUUAUUUUGCUCUAAGAUCAGCAGUACAACAACAACAACAACAACAACAACAACAACAACAAAGCCUUUUUGUCCCAAGCACGUUGGGGUAGGCUAGAGAUGAAACCCCGUAUGAAAACCUCAGAGCUCAACCCCCAAAGAACAGAAAAGGGAAACAAAGGCAAAGGAGAACCGAAAACAACGAAACGGGGAAACACAUAAAAGAGAUAAAACCCACAAGGACCAGCAAGAUCUAAAAUGGACACAAGAAAAGGUCAAACGAUUAAGGAGGAAAAGCGAAACUAUCAAUCAGGGUUCUGGCACGUGAAUUGCACACUUCCACCCCUUCCUAUCUGCGGCGAGCUCUUUGUCAAUAUUCCACUCCUUCAGGUCUCUCUUCACAGCCUCUGUCCACGUCAAAGUUGGUCGACCUCUACCUCUCUUCACAUUUUCGGGACGCCUAAUUAUUCCGAUAUGCACUGGUGCCUCUUCAGGUCUUCGUUGGAUAUGUCCAAACCAUCUCAAGCGAUGUUGCAUAAGCUUCUCCUCAAUUGGCGCCACUCCUACUCUCUCUCGUAUAUCAUCAUUCCGGACUCGAUCUCUCCUUGUGUGGCCACAUAUCCAGCGCAACAUACGCAUCUCUGCCACACUUAGUUGUUGGACAUGUCGUCUUUUAGUGGGCCAACAUUCUGCUCCAUACAACAUAGCCGGCCGGAUUGCUGUCCUGUAGAAUUUGCCUUUUAGUUUGCGUGGCACCCGGUGGUCGCAUAAGACACCCGCAGCUUGUCGCCACUUCAACCAUCCGGCUUUAAUUCUAUGACUGACAUCCUCAUCGAUGUCUCCCUCCUUUUGAAGCAUUGAUCCUAAGUAACGAAAAGUGUCUUUCUUGGGUACCACUUGCCCAUCAAGACUAACAUCGCCAUCCUCAUACCCCAUGGCACUGAAAUCACACUUCAUAUACUCUGUUUUAGACCUACUAAGCCUAAAACCUUUUGCUUCCAGCGUCUGCCUCCACAAUUCCAACUUUUGAGAAACACCACUCCUACUCUCCUCAAUAAGUACCACAUCAUCGGCAAAAAGCAUACACCACGGUAAAACUCCUUGUAUGUCCCUUGUGACCUCAUCUAUCACCAAAGCGAAAAGAUAAGGGCUCAAAGCCGACCCUUGAUGUAGUCCUAUGUUAAUUGGAAAGUCAUCGGUGUCUCCAUCACUUGUUCGGACACUUGUCACAACAUUAGUGUACAUAUCUUUAAUAAGAUUAAUGUACUUUGUUGCUACUUUGUGUUUUUCCAAGGCCCACCACAUUACACUCCUAGGUACUUUGUCAUAAGCCUUCUCCAAGUCUAUGAAGACCAUAUGCAGGUCUUUCUUUUGUUCUCUGAAUCUCUCCAUAAGUUGUCUUAGUAAGAAAAUGGCCUCCAUAGUUGAUCUCCCGGGCAUGAAACCAAACUGAUUUUGGGUCACGCUCGUCAUCUUUCGCAGGCGGUGUUCAAUGACUCUCUCCCAUAGCUUCAUUGUAUGGCUCAUGAGCUUAAUUCCACGGUAAUUAGUACAACUUUGAACAUCUCCUUUGUUCUUGAAGAUUGGUACUAAUGUACUCCGCCGCCACUCGUCGGGCAUUCUGUUUGCCCGAAAGAUGGUGUUGAAAAGCUUAGUCAGCCAUACUAUCGCUAUGUCUCCAAGACAUCUCCAUACCUCGAUAGGGAUACCAUCAGGGCCCAUCGCCUUUCCUACCUUCAUCCUUUUUAGCGCCUCCUUAACUUCAUAUUCUUGUAUCCUUCGUACAAAACCCCUGUUGUUGUCAUCGAAUGGUUCGUCCAAUUCUAUUGUAGCACUCUCAUUCCCUCCAUUGAACAAUUUGUUGAAGUACUCCUUCCAUCUGUUCUUGAUCUCUUCACUCUUCACUAAUAGUUGGUUUGCUUCGUCCUUGAUGCAUUUGACUUGGUUGACAUCCCUUGUCUUCCUUUCACGAAUCUUGGCCAUCCUAUAGAUAUCCUUUUCUCCCUGCUUUGUGUCCAGCCGUUGAUAAAGGUCGUCAUAGGCUUGACCCCGGGCUCUACUAACCGCUCGCUUUGCAGACUUCUUCGCUAUCCUGUACUUCUCUAUGUUUUCUGCACACUUGUCAUGAUGUAAGCGUUUGUAGCAAUCUUUCUUCUCCUUGAUAGCCUUUUGGACAUCUUCGUUCCACCACCAAGUGUCUUUAACUUCCCUUCUGUUCCCUUGACUCAACCCAAACUCUUCUGAAGCUAUCUUUCGGAUGCAUGUCGCCAUCUUCCUCCACAUGAUAUUUGCGUCUUCCUCUCCUGCCCAAGGGCCCUCCUCGAUAACUCUCUUCUUGAAAGUUUGGGCCACAUCCCCUUUAAGCUUCCACCACUUUGUUCUAGUGACCUUGUUAUGCUUAUUUCGUUGUAAACGAAUCUUAAAACGGAAGUCAGCAACGACAAGCUUAUGUUGGGUUACCACACACUCUCCAGGUAUAACCUUGCAAUCUAAGCAGGCAUGCCUGUCCUCUUUUCUCAAGAGGACGAAAUCAAUCUGGCUAGUGUGUUGGCCACUACUGAAGGUCACCAGGUGGGAUUGCCUCUUCUUAAAGAAAGUGUUUGCUAUAAACAUGUCAUAGGCUAGGGCAAAGUUCAGGAUUUCCUCUCCUUCUUGAUUCCUAGUCCCAAAGCCGAAGCCUCCAUGUACACCCUCGAAACUGGUGCUAGAUGUACCCACAUGGCCAUUGAGAUCUCCUCCUAUGAAGAGCUUCUCGCCAACUGGCACACUACUAACCAUGUCCUCUAGGCCUUCCCAGAACUCUCUCUUUGAGUUCUCAUUAAGGCCUACUUGAGGAGCAUACGCGCUGAUAACAUUGAGAACCAAGUCUCCAAUGACCAGCUUGACUAGGAUGAUUCUAUCUCCUACCCUCUUAACAUCUACUACCCCAUCUUUGAGGCUCUUGUCGAUCAAGACGCCUACUCCAUUCUUGUUUGUUGCAGUCCCCGUGUACCACAACUUGAAACCUGUACCUUUCACUUCCUUCGCCUUCUGUCCCUUCCACUUGGUCUCUUGAACGCAUAAAAUAUUUACCCGUCUCCUCACCGCAACGUCAACUAUUUCUCGUAACUUACCUGUUAAGGAACCUACGUUCCAACUGCCUACACGGACCCUAGUUGGCUCGACUAGCUUCCUUACCCUUCGCACCCGCCGAGGAAGAUGCAAAGACCCUUGCUCAUUUUUCACUACACCCGGGCGCCGAUGUAGCGCGCCACUAAGGAUGCGACGACCCGAUCCUUGCUCACUUAUCACCGGCUCCAGAUCAAGAGACAGCGCGUCACUUGAGGGGUGACGACCCGGCCCUUGCUCAUUUAACACCAUACCCGGGUUCCGAUAUGGCGCGUCGCUAAGAGGGUUACGCCCCAACGGUUUUCUUUGUGGUUUCAUCUCCAUAAGAUUUGGCUGGUUUUUUACGUUGGUUUGCCGGACCUAACACAACCCUCCUCCUUUACCGGGCUUGGGACCGGCUAUGUUGAAACGACUCAAGGAAGUCUUCCAAUCAACAUAGGCGGAGUUUAAGAUCAGCAGUAAUGAAGUAUAAAUCAUCGUUGUGGUGUGCUACUCGGUUAAUUGAGCAUUAACACACACAAACAUGACGAGGAUGGUAUAAUCUCCCAAAAUGUGUACUUUGUUAGGUGGGACCCUAUAGCCUUGCAGAAUGUGCUACGUUAGGCAUGCCGAUGGAAACGUGUGACGCAUACGUUUUGUGAACCUGUUGAUAUUAUAUGUGCUUUUAUAUUACCAUAUUUUAUUAAAACACUAAUAUUUAUUACUAGUAAGAUAUAACAUUCUAUCUAGCUUAAAAACUAACCAUAAAUAUUCCAUAAUAACUAGAUUUACCAAACUAAUAUACUAAAUAUACAUAAUAAAUACAAAAUUAACAAGACAAUAAUCAAUAUUUAUGAGCUUAAUAUAUUUAGACAUUAUGGUUGGUCGACGAUAAUCAUGCUAACUUUCCGUAAUUGCUUGAUUGUAAAUAUGCUUAGACUAAUGCCUCUUUGUUCUACAUGGCAAAUAGGGACCACUCUAGGAGACUAGGAUGUUGCUUGAGAUGAAAAUGUCAGAAUUGGUGUAGACUAAUUUCUAUCGGCCGCUGACUUCACUAUUGUAACCAUUAUAUCUUGGGUAAAUUAUAUACGAUUAUCCAGCCAAAGGGCCCAGAUGAUAAAAAACAAUUUUUAAUUGCUAUUUUAGGACAAAUGAAUUAGCAUGGUUCGAAGGAUUACGACCUUCCCCCCAUGACCUUUGUCAUACUGCUUUAGUCUAAUCGACAAAACCAAGAUUAGUUAUCAUCGAAGAAGUUCAUAAGCGAAGUUGUGACGAUGAAAGGAACAUGGUGGUAAUUGGACGAACGACGACACCUUUGUCUAAGAAUGGCAUCUAGAAGAAAUCUCAGACAAAAUAAGACAUGAAUGGCUUGUCAGUACAGCGCAAAUACUGAAACAUGCGCCCUUGAAUAUGAAACAUUUAUAUGUAAGAGGAAGGGAUAAAAAAACUAAUUACUCGUGCCUAAUGAUUUUAUUGGGAAUUUUAAGGCGAGACUUAUGGCAAAGGGUUAUACCAAAAAUAGGGGAGAGAUUAUUUCGAUACUUAUUCACUUGUUUCCCUUCAAAUGGCCAUACAUGUGUUACUUUUUUUGGCUGCCUCGCAUGGUCUUAUCGUUCAUCAGAUGAAUGUUAAGACUGCUUUCCCAAAUGGAGAGCUUAAGGAACAGAUCUACAUUGACUAGCCUAGUGGUUUUAUAUCAAAUGGUAAAGAGGAAAAGGUGUUUAAAAUAAUUGUUUGGUUUAAAACAAGCACCAAAGCACAUGAGAAAAUCGAUAAAGUUCUGACUUUGGCUAAAUUUGUUGUAAAUGAAGUUGAUAAAUGUGUCCAUUACCAGUUUGACAGGGGCGAAGGUAUGACCUUUUUAUAUGUGGACAAAAUAUUAACCUUUUGUAACGAUGUUAAUAUGAUAGAAGAAGUAAAGUAAUUUUUGUCUAGUAACUUAGAAAUAAACAAUCUGGGAGAGGCUAAUGUUGUUCUUAACAAAGAGAUGUUGAGAGAAGGAGGAAAUAGAGGGUUACUCUUGUGCAAUCCUAUUAGGUUGAAAAGUCGCUGAGUCGCUUUGGAUAUAGUGAUUACACGUCUGGUCCAACAACUUAUGACCCAAGUGUGUUAUUAAGGAAAAAUCAUAUAAUUGCAUAUGAUCAAUUGAGAUAUUGUCAAAUCAUGGUCUUCUCAUAUAUUUGGCAAGCCCAACGAUGUCUCAUAUCUGAUUUGUUAUGAGCAAACUCAGUUGCCUUGUCUCCAAUCUAGGGGAGGAUCAUGACAUGCCCUAGAGAGGGUAUUGCGCUUUCUCAAAGGGAUAUGAGUAAUGUCAUUUACUAUACUAGGCACCUAAGAGUACCAGAGUGUUAUAGUCAUGCAAAUAGGAUAUCUGAUGUUGAUUAGAUUUAUGCCACAAGUAGACUUGUGUGCUUCCUUGGAGGUGUGAUUGUUUCAUGGAAGUCUUGUAAGUAGACCAUCUUAACAAGGUCAACAAUAGAAGUAGAACUCACAACAUUAUAUACUACCAAAGUUGAAGUUGAUUGGCUCCGUGAACUCCUUACGGAUUUACCAGUAGUUGAAAAACCAAUACUGGUUAUCUCUAUGAGCUACAAUAAUCAAACAUUUGUAAUCGAAGUAAACAGUUCUAAAGUUAACAUGAUGUCUACAAAGCAUGUAAAAAUGGUUGAAACUGUUAAAACACUAAGAAACUCUAGAUUAAUUAUGUUGGACUAUAUCCAUACAUCGAAUUUGGUAUGCCAGUUUACAGAAGAUUUGUCACAUAAUAUGAUUCAAGGUGCAUCGAGGAAUAUGGGCUUGAGACCCACUUAAUGUCAAUCCAUAGUGGUAGCAGUUUCUAUGUGAUUGGAGAUCCCAUAAAGUAGAAUGGUGAAACAAGCUAGAGAAUGACUGAUGGAGAGACUCCUUAAAUAAAAUCUUGAUAAUUUGAGAUGCACAUUUCUCAUUUGAUGUAUUGUAGGCGAACUAAAAUCUUAAUAUGAUUUGAGUGACUUAUCUAAGCAGGGAUGUUAUCUUACAGAACAUCCUAGAAAGAACACACCUAUAUGAGUUUGCAUGUUAGUCAUAGUCUAUCAUGUGUGGUAAUCUUUAUAUACUCAUGAAAGGCUUGAAGUUUGACUUAUAUGCUUCAAACCAAGGGGGUGCUUGUAACAGUCUAGUACAAGAUAAGAACAUUGGUAAAACUCACUUAACGCAAAAUUGUCAAUUUAAGGCAUAGUUCAUUGUUUAGAUGUGAAUGUGUAAUCCCUGUUCUAGAUGGAUGGUCAACUUAACAGCCUCCACCAAAACCCUGAUAUCUCAAAGAGUAGUGGAUUUGAGUUUGUCUAAUAUGUGGUUUAGAUUUUGGUGGGGAAUUUUAAUAUUUUAUGGGCUUGGCCCAUUUAAGGUAUUUAAUACUUUCAAAAGACAAGAUUAAACAUGUGUGAAUAGUGUCAUGAUUUUUUUCUAGUGCAAAAUAGCCCAACAAAUCAACACAUAUGUGGCUAUCAUUACACAUGUGUAAAGGUAAUGCAUCACACCAUUGUCACCCAUGUAUUUAGAAAAUACCAAGAAGAAAAACAACUUGUUUAUUGUAUUUUAUGGAGAUUAUCUUGCUUACAUAUAAUUAUAACCCAACAAAGUGGUCACUAAAUGUCAAAACCAACUAGGUACCAGGUCAUCUCUAGCUUAUCUUGCUAAUGAUAUUUUUGCAAAAUCCAAAAUUAAUCUUGCACAAGCACAAGGACUGAGAUGUGUAUAAAAAUCUCUUAGAUUAGUAGGUAAUCCAUCACACAAAGCGCAAUAGUGUAGCAAAACUGGCAGUCAAAAUAUUUUGCCUCCUUAUGCUCCUUGCUCUUUCUGCAAGUGCUGCUAACGCGACCAAUUUUCUGCAAUGCUCACAAGAUCCAAUUGCUUCCCUUCUUCCCUCAUACCUCUCACCAGCGACAUCUUCAGUAUGUGAAAACCCAAUUCUUCAACCCUAUAGGAUCCAACAGGCAAUCACAGCAAGCAUCUUACCUUUAUCACCCUUGUUCCUCCAACAACCGCCAGCCCUGUUACAACAAUUACCUUUGGUGCAUUUGUUGGAACAAAGCAUCAAGGCACAACAACUACAACAACCUGUGCUGACAAACCUUGUUGCCUACUCUCAGCAACAAUAGUUUCUUCCAUUCAACCAACUGGCUGCACUGAACUCUGCUGCUUAUUUGCAACAACAACAACAACUUCCAUUCACCCAGCUAGCUGCUGCCUACCCCCAACAAUUUCUUCCAUUCGACUAACUGGCUGCAUUGAACUCUGUUGCUUAUUUACAACAGCAACAACUAAUACCAUGAAACCAGCUAGCUGUUGCGAGCCCUGCUACCUUCUUGACACAACCACAGUUGAUGUCGUUCUACCUGCAAGCUGUGGCUAACGUCGGCACCCUCUUACAACUACAACAAUUGUUGCCAUUCAUCCAACUUGCUUUGACAAACCCAAUAGUGUUCUACCAACAACCCAUCAUUGGUGGCGCCCUCUUUUAUAUUUCUUAUGGGUUAUAGUUCAAUAAUGAAGUUUUUGGCUGAUGUUUGUGGCUUCCCAGAAAUAAGAAAGUAUAUUUCUAGAUUCUUAUGUGCUACUAGUCUCCAAAUGUGGUUGAUAAUUAUGUUGCUCUAAGAACGGGAGUAAUGAGGUAUAAAUCAUUGUUGAGGUGUGAUACUCGGGUAGUUGAGCAUUAGCACGCACAAAUAUGAUGAGGACGGUAUAAUCUCCAAAAAUAUGUACUUUGUUAGGUGGGACCCUAUAGCCAUGCAGAAUGUGCUCUGUUAGACACGUCGAUGGAAACGUGUCACACAUACGUUUUGUGAACCUAUUGAUAUUGUAUGUGCUUUUAGUUGUGUGGUGCUAUAGAUAUGAGGGCUUGUUUCACGUAAUGAGCUAGGGUAGAAAAAUAAUUAUUUGCCUUGGAUUGUUAUGGAAGAACAUACCAAUUGUGACUGCCAUCUCAAUCUAGCUAACAUCUAAGUGACCUAAAAGGAGAGCAUAAGGAACUGAUCUACAAUGACUAGCCUAGUGGUUUUAUAGGAAAUGGCAAAGAGGAAAAUGUGUUUAAGUUAUUACAAUUGUAUGGUUUAAAACAAGCACCUAAGCACAUGAGAAAUUUUAUGAAGUUCUGACUUUGGCUAAAUUUGUUGUAAAUGAAGCUGAUAAAUGUGUCUAUUGCUAGUUUGAGAGGAGGGAUGGCAUGACCUGUUUUUUAUAUUUGGAUGAUAUAUUAAUCUUUUGUAAUGAUGUUAAUAUUAUCGAGGAAGUAAAAUACUCUUUGUGUGGUAACUUUGAAAUAAAUGAUUUUGGAGAGGCUAAUGUUGUUCUUAACAUAAAGAUGUUGGGAGAAGGAGGAAAUAGGGGGUAACUCUUGUGAAUCCUAUUAGGUUGAAAAGACAUUUAGUUGUUUUGGAUAUAGUAACUACACAUCUGGUCAAAUUACUUAUGACACAAGCGUGUUGUUAAGGAAAAUGAUAUAAUCGCAUAGAAUCAAAUGAGAUACUAUCAAAUCAUGGUCUUCUCGUGUAUUUGGCUAAUCCAACGAGGCCUAAUAUCUCAUUGCUAUGAUUAAACUUAGUCGAUUUGUAUACAAUGUAGGGGAUGAUCAUGGCAAGCCCUAGAGAGGGUAUUGCGCUACCUAAAAGGGACUAUGAGUAAUGUAAUUUACUAUACCAGGCACCUAAGGGUACCAGAGUGUUACAAUGAUGCAAACAAGAUAUCUGAUGGUGACGAGAUUUAUGCCACAAGUGGAUAUGUGUGCUUGCUUGGAGGUGUGAUAGUUUCAUGGAAGUCUUGUAAGUAUACCAUCUUAACAAGAUCAACAAAACAAGUAGAACUGGCAACAUAAGAUACUACCAUAGUUGAAGCUAAGUGGCUUCUUGAACUCCUUAUGGAUUUACCAGUAGUUGAAAACUAAUAGUGGUUAUCUCUAUGAUCUAUGAUAAUCAAAUAGUCGUAAUCAAAGUGAACAGUUCUAAGGAUAACAUGAAUUCUACAAAGCAUGUCAAAAAGCGAUUGAAACUAUUAGAACACUAAGAAUCUCUAGAGUAAUUGUGUUGGACUAUGUCCAUACAUCUAAGAAUUUGGUAGGUCGAUUUAGAGAAGGUUUGUCCAUAAUGUGAUAGAUGGUGCAUCGUGUAAGAUGGGCUUGAGACCCUCUUAAUGCCAUUCCUUAGUGGUAGCAUGUUCUAUGUGAUUGGAGAUCUCGUGAAGUAGAAUGGUGAAACAAGAUAGAGAAUGACUGAUGGAGAGACUCCUUAAAUAAAAUCUAGGUAAUUUGAUAUGCAUAUUUCUCCUUUGAUGUAUCGUAGGCUAACUAAAAUCUUAAUAUGAUCGGAGUGAUUUAUCUAAGCAGGGAUGUUAUCUUAUAGAACAUCCUAGAAGGAACACACCUAUAUGAGUUUGACUGCUAUUCAUAGUCUAUGAUAUUUGGGAAAUCUUUAUAUACACCUGAAAGGCCUAGAAAUGUGACUUCUAUGCUUCAAACCAAGGGGAUGCUUGUAACAAUCUAGUAUCAGAUAAGAACUUUGGUGAAACUCACUUCAUGCAAAACCGUUAAUUCAAAGCAUAGUCCAUUGUUCAGAUGUGAAUGUAUAACCCAUGUUCUAGAUGGAUGGUCAACUUAAUAGCCUCCACCAAGACCAUGAUAUAUCAAAGAGUAGUGGAUUUGAGUUUGUCCAAUAUGUGGUUUAGAUUUUGGUGGGGAAUGUUAAUAUUUUAUUGGCUUGACCCAUUUAAAGUGUUUAAUAAUUUUGAAAGACAAGAUUAAACAAAC
Molecule: long non-coding RNA, 24065 nt
Filed under: Zea mays
Lineage: Eukaryota; Viridiplantae; Streptophyta; Magnoliopsida; Poales; Poaceae
Description: long non-coding RNA (ZMAY_LNC002145)
Source: RNAcentral